AAUGGUAAGAGAUUGAAGUGACU
RNAcentral lists this microRNA (23 nucleotides) under Pristionchus pacificus. Its description in RNAcentral is "ppc-miR-2270". Lineage: Eukaryota; Metazoa; Nematoda; Chromadorea; Rhabditida; Neodiplogasteridae. The record is from miRBase by way of RNAcentral.